GCGGGAAUAGCUCAGUAGGUAGAGUACAAUCUUGCCAAGAUUGGGGUCGCGAGUUCGAAUCUCGUUUCCCGCUCAA
RNAcentral lists this transfer RNA (76 nucleotides) under Candidatus Purcelliella pentastirinorum. RNAcentral describes it as "tRNA-Gly". It matches the Rfam family "tRNA". Rfam says of the family: Transfer RNA (tRNA) molecules are approximately 80 nucleotides in length. Their secondary structure includes four short double-helical elements and three loops (D, anti-codon, and T loops). Further hydrogen bonds mediate the characteristic L-shaped molecular structure. tRNAs have two regions of fundamental functional importance: the anti-codon, which is responsible for specific mRNA codon recognition, and the 3' end, to which the tRNAs corresponding amino acid is attached (by aminoacyl-tRNA synthetases). tRNAs cope with the degeneracy of the genetic code in two manners: having more than one tRNA (with a specific anti-codon) for a particular amino acid; and 'wobble' base-pairing, i.e. permitting non-standard base-pairing at the 3rd anti-codon position. Lineage: Bacteria; Pseudomonadati; Pseudomonadota; Gammaproteobacteria; Enterobacterales; Enterobacteriaceae. The record is from RNAcentral.